This 380-nucleotide ribosomal RNA is filed under the name uncultured bacterium. Its description in RNAcentral is "bacterial SSU rRNA". It matches the Rfam family "Bacterial small subunit ribosomal RNA", at positions 30 to 405 of the family's 1533-position model. The record is from RNAcentral.
AUUGAACGCUGGCGGCAUGCCUUACACAUGCAAGUCGAACGGCAGCACGGGAGCAAUCCUGGUGGCGAGUGGCGAACGGGUGAGUAAUAUAUCGGAACGUGCCCAGUCGUGGGGGAUAACGUAGCGAAAGCUACGCUAAUACCGCAUACGAUCUACGGAUGAGAGCGGGGGACUCGCAAGGGCCUCGCGCGAUUGGAGCGGCCGAUAUCAGAUUAGGUUGUUGGUGAGGUAAAAGCUCACCAAGCCUGCGAUCUGUAGCUGGUCUGAGAGGACGACCAGCCACACUGGGAACUGUGACACGGUCCAGACUCCUACGGGAGGCAGCAGUGGGGAAUUUUUGGGACAAUGGACGCAAGUCUGAUCCAGCAAUGCCGCGUGCA